RNAcentral lists this ribosomal RNA (373 nucleotides) under uncultured bacterium. RNAcentral's name for it is "bacterial SSU rRNA". It matches the Rfam family "Bacterial small subunit ribosomal RNA", at positions 525 to 896 of the family's 1533-position model. The record is from RNAcentral.
ACGAAGGUCCCAAGCGUUGUUCGGAAUCACUGGGCGUAAAGGGAGCGUAGGCGGCGUGGUAAGUCAGAUGUGAAAUCCCGGGGCUCAACCCCGGAACUGCAUCCGAUACUGCCGUGCUUGAGGGUUGGAGAGGUAGCUGGAAUUCUCGGUGUAGCAGUGAAAUGCGUGGAUAUCGAGAGGAACACUCGUGGCGAAGGCGAGCUACUGGACAACAUCUGACGCUGAGGCUCGAAGGCUAGGGGAGCAAAAGGGAUUAGAUACCCCUGUAGUCCUAGCAGUAAACGGUGUGCGCUUGGUGUGAGGGGAUUCGACCCCCCUUGUGCCGGAGCUAACGCGUUAAGCGCACCGCCUGGGAAGUACGGCCGCAAGGCUA